This 75-nucleotide transfer RNA is filed under the name Clostridium butyricum. Its description in RNAcentral is "tRNA-Glu". It matches the Rfam family "tRNA". From Rfam's summary of the family: Transfer RNA (tRNA) molecules are approximately 80 nucleotides in length. Their secondary structure includes four short double-helical elements and three loops (D, anti-codon, and T loops). The record is from RNAcentral. Lineage: Bacteria; Bacillati; Bacillota; Clostridia; Eubacteriales; Clostridiaceae.
GGCCCAUUGGUCAAGAGGUCAAGACGUCACCCUCUCACGGUGAAAUCAUGGGUUCGAUUCCCGUAUGGGUCACUA